This 225-nucleotide ribosomal RNA is filed under the name Acarospora socialis. RNAcentral describes it as "partial 18S ribosomal RNA". Lineage: Eukaryota; Fungi; Ascomycota; Lecanoromycetes; Acarosporales; Acarosporaceae. The record is from RNAcentral.
UCUCGCAGUGACUCUAAAGAACUGCGCCAGUCCGCACCUGCGGGCGACACCUUGAUUCUACUGGGACCUCUGCCCUGCAUCGCAGGCGCGGAUACCAGUGGCCUGUGCGUAACAGGUUCACAGAUCAAACAAUGGUGGCCAACUGUUGGUUAAGAUAUGACCGGUCUCCGCUGUAACUAGCCGGAGAAGACACGUUCCGUAGGUGAACCUGCGGAAGGAUCAUUA